RNAcentral lists this ribosomal RNA (734 nucleotides) under uncultured marine bacterium. RNAcentral describes it as "bacterial SSU rRNA". It matches the Rfam family "Bacterial small subunit ribosomal RNA", at positions 14 to 794 of the family's 1533-position model. The record is from RNAcentral.
UGAUCCUGGCUCAGAAUGAACGCUGGCGGCAUGCCUAACACAUGCAAGUCGAACGAAGGCUUCGGCCUUAGUGGCGCACGGGUGCGUAACGCGUGGGAAUCUGCCCCUCGGUUCGGAAUAACAGUUAGAAAUGACUGCUAAUACCGGAUGAUGACGUAAGUCCAAAGAUUUAUCGCCGAGGGAUGAGCCCGCGUAGGAUUAGCUAGUUGGUGUGGUAAGAGCGCACCAAGGCGACGAUCCUUAGCUGGUCUGAGAGGAUGACCAGCCACACUGGGACUGAGACACGGCCCAGACUCCUACGGGAGGCAGCAGUGGGGAAUAUUGGACAAUGGGCGAAAGCCUGAUCCAGCAAUGCCGCGUGAGUGAUGAAGGCCUUAGGGUUGUAAAGCUCUUUUACCCGGGAUGAUAAUGACAGUACCGGGAGAAUAAGCUCCGGCUAACUCCGUGCCAGCAGCCGCGGUAAUACGGAGGGAGCUAGCGUUAUUCGGAAUUACUGGGCGUAAAGCGCACGUAGGCGGCUUUGUAAGUAAGAGGUGAAAGCCCAGAGCUCAACUCUGGAAUUGCCUUUUAGACUGCAUCGCUUGAAUCAUGGAGAGGUCAGUGGAAUUCCGAGUGUAGAGGUGAAAUUCGUAGAUAUUCGGAAGAACACCAGUGGCGAAGGCGGCUGACUGGACAUGUAUUGACGCUGAGGUGCGAAAGCGUGGAGAGCAAACAGGAUUAGAUACCCUGGUAGU